GCACUAUAUCUGGUCACUGAUCUCUUCCUCUUUGGCUUUUGCCCUUGCAUUUUGCUUCUUGGCUCCCAUGAGGUGAAGCAACUUUCCUCCACCUGCUCUUUCUGACCUGGAGCAGGCUAACUGUGGACUGAAACCUCUGAAAACUUCCUUUGGACCUGAUUUGUGAGAGGAGUUUGGAAAGACCUUAAAAAUAUUCCAAAUGCAAAAAAAAAAAAAAAAAAAAAAAGACUACAGAACUUCCUGCCUUACUUAUCACACCAAUUUUAUUGGACUGGCCAUACUCUCUGGAUAGGACACAAGGAACAUAGAGCUCAGUGAAUUACAAUCUGAUGUGAAACUCAAGUUAUGCAGCCAAAAACAUGUUUUGCAAUCUGCUGGACCAAAGUUAUUUAAGGAUUGUUUUUCCCAGGAAAAAGAAAAAUUUUAAAGCAAGUAUAUGUAUCCGUUAACACAGUUCACUACAAUAAAUUGAAAUGUUCUUAUUUCCUCUAUAAUAAAUGAGACUCUUGGCAAGAAACAAAA
Molecule: long non-coding RNA, 522 nt
Organism: Heterocephalus glaber (naked mole-rat)
Lineage: Eukaryota; Metazoa; Chordata; Mammalia; Rodentia; Bathyergidae
Source: RefSeq, a predicted model, not a curated record